Molecule: ribosomal RNA, 253 nt
Filed under: uncultured bacterium
Lineage: Bacteria
Description: partial 16S ribosomal RNA
Rfam family: Bacterial small subunit ribosomal RNA
Source: RNAcentral
UACGGAGGGUGCAAGCGUUAAUCGGAAUUACUGGGCGUAAAGCGUGCGCAGGCGGUUAUGUAAGACAGAUGUGAAAUCCCCGGGCUCAACCUGGGAACUGCAUUUGUGACUGCAUAGCUAGAGUACGGUAGAGGGGGAUGGAAUUCCGCGUGUAGCAGUGAAAUGCGUAGAUAUGCGGAGGAACACCGAUGGCGAAGGCAAUCCCCUGGACCUGUACUGACGCUCAUGCACGAAAGCGUGGGGAGCAAACAGG